RNAcentral lists this ribosomal RNA (278 nucleotides) under uncultured bacterium. Its description in RNAcentral is "partial 16S ribosomal RNA". It matches the Rfam family "Bacterial small subunit ribosomal RNA", at positions 506 to 784 of the family's 1533-position model. The record is from RNAcentral.
UGCCAGCAGCCGCGGUAAUACGUAGGGUGCAAGCGUUGUCCGGAUUUAUUGGGUUUAAAGGGUGCGCAGGCGGCUUAUUAAGUUAGUGGUGAAAUCACCCGGCUCAACCGGGUACCCGCCAUUGAUACUGGUAAGCUUGAGUAUGUUCGAGGAGAUUGGAACGUGUAGUGUAGGGUGAAAUCCGUAGAUAUUCGGAGGAACACCAGUGGCGAAGGCGGCUUUCUGGACCGAUACUGACGCUGAGACGCGAAAGCGUGGGGAGCAAACAGGAUUAGAUA